This 437-nucleotide ribosomal RNA is filed under the name uncultured bacterium. Its description in RNAcentral is "partial 16S ribosomal RNA". It matches the Rfam family "Bacterial small subunit ribosomal RNA", at positions 29 to 507 of the family's 1533-position model. The record is from RNAcentral.
AGCGAACGCUGGCGGCAGGCUUAACACAUGCAAGUCGAGCGGGCAUCCUUGUGGUGUCAGCGGCAGACGGGUGAGUAACGCGUGGGAACGUGCCCUUCGGUUCGGAAUAACUCAGGGAAACUUGAGCUAAUACCGGAUACGUGCGAGAGCAGAAAGGUUUAUCUGCCGAAGGAUCGGCCCGCGUCUGAUUAGCUAGUUGGUGAGGUUAUGGCUCACCAAGGCGACGAUCAGUAGCUGGUCUGAGAGGAUGAUCAGCCACACUGGGACUGAGACACGGCCCAGACUCCUACGGGAGGCAGCAGUGGGGAAUAUUGGACAAUGGGGGCAACCCUGAUCCAGCCAUGCCGCGUGAGUGAUGACGGCCGUAGGGUUGUAAAGCUCUUUUCUCCGGGACGAUAAUGACGGUACCGGAGGAAUAAGCCCCGGCUAACUUCGUG